UACGUAGGGGGGCUAGCGUUGUCCGGAAUCAUUGGGCGUAAAGAGCGUGUAGGCGGCCCGGUAAGUCCGCUGUGAAAGUCGGGGGCUCAACCCUCGGAUGCCGGUGGAUACUGUCGGGCUCGAGUACGGAAGAGGCGAGUGGAAUUCCUGGUGUAGCGGUGAAAUGCGCAGAGUAUCAGGAGGAACACCUAUUGCGAAGGCAGACUCGCUGGGACGUUACUGCGCUGAGACGCGAAGCGUGGGAGCAAACAGG
This 253-nucleotide ribosomal RNA is filed under the name uncultured bacterium. RNAcentral describes it as "partial 16S ribosomal RNA". It matches the Rfam family "Bacterial small subunit ribosomal RNA", at positions 524 to 776 of the family's 1533-position model. The record is from RNAcentral.